This 74-nucleotide transfer RNA is filed under the name Hoyosella sp. YIM 151337. RNAcentral describes it as "tRNA-Pro". It matches the Rfam family "tRNA". From Rfam's summary of the family: Transfer RNA (tRNA) molecules are approximately 80 nucleotides in length. Their secondary structure includes four short double-helical elements and three loops (D, anti-codon, and T loops). Further hydrogen bonds mediate the characteristic L-shaped molecular structure. tRNAs have two regions of fundamental functional importance: the anti-codon, which is responsible for specific mRNA codon recognition, and the 3' end, to which the tRNAs corresponding amino acid is attached (by aminoacyl-tRNA synthetases). tRNAs cope with the degeneracy of the genetic code in two manners: having more than one tRNA (with a specific anti-codon) for a particular amino acid; and 'wobble' base-pairing, i.e. permitting non-standard base-pairing at the 3rd anti-codon position. The record is from RNAcentral. Lineage: Bacteria; Bacillati; Actinomycetota; Actinomycetes; Mycobacteriales; Hoyosellaceae. RNAcentral also lists the same sequence under 1 other name.
CGGGGUGUGGCGCAGCUUGGUAGCGCGCUUCGUUCGGGUCGAAGAGGUCGUGGGUUCAAAUCCCGCCACCCCGA